This 83-nucleotide transfer RNA is filed under the name Candidatus Woesearchaeota archaeon. Its description in RNAcentral is "tRNA-Ser". It matches the Rfam family "tRNA". Rfam says of the family: Transfer RNA (tRNA) molecules are approximately 80 nucleotides in length. Lineage: Archaea; Nanobdellati; Candidatus Woesearchaeota. The record is from RNAcentral.
GCCACGAUCGCAUAACCUGGUAUUGCACAGGCCUGGAAAGUCUGACCUUAAUCGGUAUCUCGGUUCAAAUCCGAGUCGUGGCG